GGGCGGACCGGAGCCGGAGGCGGAUUUGGAGUCUGGUCCCGCCGUCUGUCGGGGCCGCAGUACCCCUGUGCGGACGAAGCUCGUCCCAGCCAAGUCUCGGCGCCAUGGGGGCGGAGUAGAAGCUGCUGUCGGUUAAGGAGGCCUUUCAACUGGCGCAGCAGCCGCACCAGAACCAGGCGAAGUUCGAGGUGGCGCUGAGCCGCACCUACUGCAAGAAGGCAGUUAGAACAUACAGAGAACUCAUGGAGAGAGGAAAGGCCAUGUGAGGACACUGGAAGAAGACACGUACAAGCCAAGAAAAGGGCCCUCAGGAGAACCCAGACCUGCUGACAGUUUGAUCCUCAGAAGUCCAGCCUCCAAAACCAAGAAAAUAAAUUUCUGUUGUUUAAGC
This is a long non-coding RNA of Herpailurus yagouaroundi (jaguarundi), 391 nucleotides long. RefSeq lists it as uncharacterized. NCBI's taxonomy places the organism in Eukaryota, Metazoa, Chordata, Mammalia, Carnivora, Felidae. The transcript has 2 exons. The record is from RefSeq and is a predicted model, not a curated record.